UUCUUCUUCUUCUUCUUCUCUCUUCUUCUUUCUUCUCCUCCCGCUUUCUUUCUAUGUUCUUCUUCUCCGGCUGAUUUCUGUGCUUGCAAUUGAGAGAAUCAAUUGAUGAUGUCAUAUAGAUGAUGAGGGAGGUGUUUUUGUUAUGAAUCAUGAAGAAGGAGUGAUGGAUUGAAGAGAAUUAGAAGUUGGGGUUCUGUGGGUUGAAGAUGAACUGAUUUAAUUAGAUAAAAAAAGAUUAAAAUAUGGGUUUCAAUGAAUCUGAUGUGAAGUGUAAGGUUAUGGGGUUGAUUCCGAAGAAGAGCAUUUAUUCGACAGAUUGAGGAAAUUAGGGUUUGUAAUAAUUUCCGAAGAAGAUUUGGAAGAUGAAAUUGAAGGAUGGGUUUUGAAGAUGAUGAGGUGAAUAAGAAGUUAGUGAUGUUAAUUUGAAGAUUCAGUUACGGUGAAGGUAAGAUUUGAGGAAUUAGGGUUUCUGCUCUUCCCCAGACUAGAAUUAGGGUUUGUAGAUCGAAUUGUAUAUUUGUAUGGAUUUGAUAAGUAAACUAAGUUGUUGGUGGAUGAAGAAUAACUGGGUUGUGGCUUAAUUGAAGAUGUGAAGUGUUUUGUUGGAAGAUCAGUGAGUUAGGGUUCUAAAGAGGAUUGAGAAAUAAUUGGGGUUUAUGGUGUUGGUGUUGUGAAACGAGUUGAACUGUUGAGGAACUGAAUGGAGUUAAAGUAAGAAGAAUUGGAUUCAAUUGCUCGACCUGGACCAUCCUGAGGUAAUUGUUUCUCUCAGUUGAUUCAAUAUGGUUAUUCAGUUCAUUAUUUUUUUAUGGGUGAUUGAUUAUUGAUUUGUAAAAGGUGGUAUUAAGAAUUGAUAAUGAAAUGGUUGAGCUGAGUUAACUGUGGUGGUGUUGUAAGGUGCGGGGGUAUGUGUAGAUGAAUAUUUUUCUAAAUUAGUAACUUUGUGUGGUGUUGAGCUGAGAUGCAGCUGUAAAUUAUGGAACUGGUGGGGAAGAUUGUAAUUGUGCUAACUUGGGUUGCAGAGUGGAUGUGUGAGUGAUAUCUGUAUGAAGUAGUCUUAUGGAUAUAGUAGGGGGGUGAGUGUAGUAAGUUAGUGUUACAGAUGGUGGUGAACUGAAUAUGGGUUGCAGAUGGAAUGAGAUGGUGUUGGUGCUGAGUUAAGUAUGACCUGCAGAUGGUUUUGUGGGUUGCAACUGCAAUUCAAGUUGCAUGUGAUGAUACGGGUCAUGUGAGGUGGAAUGGAUUGUAAUGAAGGUGAUGUGUAAAUGGAAUUGGGGUCAUGAUGGUGGUGUGUUAAGACCGAUAUUUGAGUAUAGUUAAGUUAAAGAUGAAUGUUAGGAUUUUGGAGAGGUUAAUGAUAUUGAUUUGGCAGUGUUAAGAUAGGAUGUGUAAGGUGGAGUAAGUUGUAGUACUGUUAUGGCAGUGAUUUUAGUGAAAGCCUGCAAUGCAGAUCAAGUUAGUCUUUAUUAACAACGAUCGAUUCAAAGGAUGAACCAGUGGAUCGUGGAUCUCGAGUAGGAGAGGCUUGUCAUCAAAAGAGGUACUCUUGUUGCUGCGAUGACAUUUUACCGAGAGGAUGUGUCCAGGCCUCUCGGAGAAUACAUGUAUGGACCACAAUAUCAGGAGAUUUAGGAACAAAAUCGUCUCAGAGAACAUGAGGUUUCGCCGGCGCACCACCAGCUGCCGAACGGAGCUAGCACCGUCCGGCCAACUUCCGGC
This is a long non-coding RNA of Papaver somniferum (opium poppy), 1719 nucleotides long. RefSeq lists it as uncharacterized. The record is from RefSeq and is a predicted model, not a curated record. Lineage: Eukaryota; Viridiplantae; Streptophyta; Magnoliopsida; Ranunculales; Papaveraceae. The transcript has 4 exons.